AAAACUUACCUGGUCCUGACACUAGAAGGAUUGACAGAUUGAUAGCUCUUUCUUGAUUUGGUGGAUGGUGGUGCAUGGCCGUUCUUAGUUGGUGGAGUGAUUUGUCUGGUUAAUUCCGAUAACGAACGAGACUCUAGCCUAUUAAAUAACACACAGAAUCAUGUCUUCUGCGGUGUUUCUUAAUGGGAUCAAGUGUGUUUAACACUUUGAAACAGAGCAAUAACAGGUCUGUGAUGCCCUUAGAUGUUCGGGGCCGCACGCGCGCUACAUUGAAAGACAAAAUGAGCGUUUCUGGUUUUUAACAAAACUAGUAAUCUUUGAAUGUUUUUCUUAAUGGGGAUAGGGGAUUGCAAUUGUGCCCCUUGAACGAGGAAUUCCCAGUAAGUGCUAGUCAUUAGCUAGUACUGA
RNAcentral lists this ribosomal RNA (408 nucleotides) under Macrocheles subbadius. RNAcentral describes it as "SSU rRNA". It matches the Rfam family "Eukaryotic small subunit ribosomal RNA", at positions 1210 to 1644 of the family's 1831-position model. The record is from RNAcentral. Lineage: Eukaryota; Metazoa; Arthropoda; Arachnida; Mesostigmata; Macrochelidae.